This 71-nucleotide transfer RNA is filed under the name Urocitellus parryii (Arctic ground squirrel). RNAcentral describes it as "Spermophilus parryii (Arctic ground squirrel) tRNA". It matches the Rfam family "tRNA". From Rfam's summary of the family: Transfer RNA (tRNA) molecules are approximately 80 nucleotides in length. Lineage: Eukaryota; Metazoa; Chordata; Mammalia; Rodentia; Sciuridae. RNAcentral also lists the same sequence under 1 other name. The record is from Rfam by way of RNAcentral.
GGGGUUGUAGUUCAGUGGUAGAGCACUUGCCUAGCAUGUGUGAGGUACUGGGUUCGAUUCUCAGCACCUCA